UACGAAGGGUGCUAGCGUUACUCGGAAUUACUGGGCGUAAAGAGCGCGUAGGCGGCUAGAUAAGUUGGAAGUGAAAUCCCAGAGCUUAACUCUGGAAUUGCUUUCAAAACUGUUUGGCUAGAGAUCGGUAGAGGAUAGUGGAAUUCCCAGUGUAGAAGUGAAAUUCGUAGAUAUUGGGAGGAACACCGGAGGCGAAGGCGGCUAUCUGGGCCGUUUCUGACGCUGUGGCGCGAAAGCGUGGGGAGCAAACAGG
This 253-nucleotide ribosomal RNA is filed under the name uncultured bacterium. Its description in RNAcentral is "partial 16S ribosomal RNA". It matches the Rfam family "Bacterial small subunit ribosomal RNA", at positions 524 to 776 of the family's 1533-position model. The record is from RNAcentral.